CAUGCAGUCGACGGUAACAGGAAGCAGCUUGCUGCUUCGCUGACGAGUGGCGGACGGGUGAGUAAUGUCUGGGAAACUGCCUGAUGGAGGGGGAUAACUACUGGAAACGGUAGCUAAUACCGCAUAACGUCGCAAGACCAAAGAGGGGGACCUUCGGGCCUCUUGCCAUCGGAUGUGCCCAGAUGGGAUUAGCUAGUAGGUGGGGUAACGGCUCACCUAGGCGACGAUCCCUAGCUGGUCUGAGAGGAUGACCAGCCACACUGGAACUGAGACACGGUCCAGACUCCUACGGGAGGCAGCAGUGGGGAAUAUUGCACAAUGGGCGCAAGCCUGAUGCAGCCAUGCCGCGUGUAUGAAGAAGGCCUUCGGGUUGUAAAGUACUUUCAGCGGGGAGGAAGGGAGUAAAGUUAAUACCUUUGCUCAUUGACGUUACCCGCAGAAGAAGCACCGGCUAACUCCGUGCCAGCAGCCGCGGUAAUACGGAGGGUGCAAGCGUUAAUCGGAAUUACUGGGCGUAAAGCGCACGCAGGCGGUUUGUUAAGUCAGAUGUGAAAUCCCCGGGCUCAACCUGGGAACUGCAUCUGAUACUGGCAAGCUUGAGUCUCGUAGAGGGGGGUAGAAUUCCAGGUGUAGCGGUGAAAUGCGUAGAGAUCUGGAGGAAUACCGGUGGCGA
This 673-nucleotide ribosomal RNA is filed under the name Escherichia sp. 1.3-02. RNAcentral describes it as "bacterial SSU rRNA". It matches the Rfam family "Bacterial small subunit ribosomal RNA", at positions 54 to 718 of the family's 1533-position model. The record is from RNAcentral. Lineage: Bacteria; Pseudomonadati; Pseudomonadota; Gammaproteobacteria; Enterobacterales; Enterobacteriaceae.